Molecule: ribosomal RNA, 250 nt
Filed under: uncultured bacterium
Lineage: Bacteria
Description: partial 16S ribosomal RNA
Rfam family: Bacterial small subunit ribosomal RNA
Source: RNAcentral
UACGGAGGGUGCAAGCGUUAUCCGGAUUCACUGGGUUUAAAGGGUGCGUAGGCGGCUAUAUAAGUCAGUGGUGAAAGCCCGCAGCUCAACUGCGGAAUUGCCAUUGAAACUGUAUAGCUUGAAUCUGGUUGAAGUGGGCGGAAUACAUCAUGUAGCGGUGAAAUGCUUAGAUAUGAUGUAGAACACCGAUUGCGAAGGCAGCUCACUAAGCCAACAUUGACGCUGAGGCACGAAAGCGUGGGUAGCGAAC